GGCAAAAGGAAACAUUAAAAUACCUGAUCAGCAAAACGUAUUUGUACAAAAACAAAAUGACUGUUCUGUUUCUGGCCUCCUUUAGAUUAAACCCCAAGUAAUCAAAUGUUAUUUCAGAUCUCCAGUUCCUAAUAUUUUCUUGUAGAAAAUGUACUUUUUGAUUUACCUUCUUUCCUAAUGCUCCAUCCACAGUUGCUUAUAUAUUUAAAGAUUUUGAAUCUCAGUAGCUUGAGAUGAAAGCAGGUUGAUGAUUUUGAUUUUGGUGGCACGUAACAGUAAUAAUAAAAAUGUUACUCUACCAAAACAGUAAUAGUGAGAACAAUAUGUCAUAAUAUCAGGAAUAACAUUACCUGAUAACAAUUUAUAUUAUUUCAUUUUCCAAGUAAGACAAACGUGACAAAUUUCAUUUUGAAUUAAAUUUCUAUGUGGUAAAAUAAGUUGGGUAUGCCAAGUCAGAAUUUUCCUAAUUUUGGUGUUAAGCCAAAAUUGAAACAAAAUAAAAUCAGACUUGCAGCUUUAUUGCGUUUGCUGAAUAUUUGUGUAAUCCAGUUUUGUUUUUGCCUUUUCCUGGCACUGAUAGCCUUCCAUAGAAACCGUUUGGUUAUGGAGGUCUUGCAGCUGAUCUGGUUCUUCUAGAUGAGAAUAAUUAGGUAAAUGCUGAAGUUGUUUUGUUUUGAUCCUCUUUCCUGGCUUCUAACACGGGUCUUUUGUAUGCGAUCACUUCCCCUCCUGAUUAUAUUGUGGUGCUAUGUGUGUGUGUAUAUAUAUAUAUAUAUAUAGAUAGAUAUAUAUGGGGAGAGAGAUUGUCUGGUAAAUUGAGUUAUAGUGAAAAAUUUAUUUUCGAUACAAAUUGAGGUGGGGGGAGGGAGUAUCUGUCAGUUAUAAAUCUAUUGAUAUUAACAAUAACCCUAGAGGUACAUUUUCAAAAUUGCAGUUUCAAGUUUGUACAUCUUUUUGAUAGUGUAUACACGUUUCUGUUUAUAUGAUUAAUUUGUGCUGUGACUAAGCUUUGACCAUGUAAAUAAAGCCAGAAGUUUGGAUUAC
Long non-coding RNA from Astatotilapia calliptera (eastern happy), 1044 nucleotides. Lineage: Eukaryota; Metazoa; Chordata; Actinopteri; Cichliformes; Cichlidae. The record is from Ensembl.